RNAcentral lists this ribosomal RNA (492 nucleotides) under uncultured bacterium. Its description in RNAcentral is "partial 16S ribosomal RNA". It matches the Rfam family "Bacterial small subunit ribosomal RNA", at positions 29 to 507 of the family's 1533-position model. The record is from RNAcentral.
AGUGAACGCUGGCGGUAGGCCUAACACAUGCAAGUCGAACGGCAGCACAGUAAGAGCUUGCUCUUACGGGUGGCGAGUGGCGGACGGGUGAGGAAUACAUCGGAAUCUACUUUUUCGUGGGGGAUAACGUAGGGAAACUUACGCUAAUACCGCAUACGACCUACGGGUGAAAGCAGGGGAUCUUCGGACCUUGCGCGAUUGAAUGAGCCGAUGUCGGAUCAGCUAGUUGGCGGGGUAAAGGCCCACCAAGGCGACGAUCCGUAGCUGGUCUGAGAGGAUGAUCAGCCACACUGGAACUGAGCCACUGUCCAGGCUCCUGCGGCAUGCAGCAGUGGGGAAUAUUGGCCAAUGGGCGCAAGCCUGAUCCAUCCAUAGCGCGUUAGUGAAGAAGGCCUUCUGGUUGUGAAGCCGUUUUGUUGGGAAAGAAAAGCAGCAGGUUAAUACCCCGCUGUUCUGACGGUACCCAAAGAGUAAGCACCGGCUAACUUCGUG